This 496-nucleotide ribosomal RNA is filed under the name uncultured bacterium. Its description in RNAcentral is "partial 16S ribosomal RNA". It matches the Rfam family "Bacterial small subunit ribosomal RNA", at positions 28 to 506 of the family's 1533-position model. The record is from RNAcentral.
GAUGAACGCUGGCGGCGUGCCUAAUACAUGCAAGUCGAGCGAACGGACGAGAAGCUUGCUUUUCUGAUGUUAGCGGCGGACGGGUGAGUAACACGUGGAUAACCUACCUAUAAGACUGGGAUAACUUCGGGAAACCGGAGCUAAUACCGGAUAAUAUUUUGAACCGCAUGGUUCAAAAGUGAAAGACGGUCUUGCUGACACUUAUAGAUGGAUCCGCGCUGCAUUAGCUAGUUGGUAAGGUAACGGCUUACCAAGGCAACGAUGCAUAGCCGACCUGAGAGGGUGAUCGGCCACACUGGAACUGAGACACGGUCCAGACUCCUACGGGAGGCAGCAGUAGGGAAUCUUCCGCAAUGGGCGAAAGCCUGACGGAGCAACGCCGCGUGAGUGAUGAAGGUCUUCGGAUCGUAAAACUCUGUUAUUAGGGAAGAACAUAUGUGUAAGUAACUGUGCACAUCUUGACGGUACCUAAUCAGAAAGCCACGGCUAACUACGU